GGUGGGGUUCCCGAGCGGCCAAAGGGAGCAGACUGUAAAUCUGCCGUCAUCGACUUCGAAGGUUCGAAUCCUUCCCCCACCAC
Molecule: transfer RNA, 83 nt
Filed under: Escherichia coli
Lineage: Bacteria; Pseudomonadati; Pseudomonadota; Gammaproteobacteria; Enterobacterales; Enterobacteriaceae
Also listed under: 1 other name
Description: tRNA-Tyr
Rfam family: tRNA
About the family: Transfer RNA (tRNA) molecules are approximately 80 nucleotides in length. Their secondary structure includes four short double-helical elements and three loops (D, anti-codon, and T loops). Further hydrogen bonds mediate the characteristic L-shaped molecular structure. tRNAs have two regions of fundamental functional importance: the anti-codon, which is responsible for specific mRNA codon recognition, and the 3' end, to which the tRNAs corresponding amino acid is attached (by aminoacyl-tRNA synthetases). tRNAs cope with the degeneracy of the genetic code in two manners: having more than one tRNA (with a specific anti-codon) for a particular amino acid; and 'wobble' base-pairing, i.e. permitting non-standard base-pairing at the 3rd anti-codon position.
Source: RNAcentral